GGGGGGAGCACCGGAUCCUGGGCUGUGUCCCCCGGCGCCCUGGGUUCUGGGGCCUGCACUGCUGGAAUUGGGCUCCCGGGCCAUGCAGCUCCCU
Molecule: microRNA precursor, 94 nt
Filed under: Canis lupus familiaris (dog)
Lineage: Eukaryota; Metazoa; Chordata; Mammalia; Carnivora; Canidae
Also listed under: 1 other name
Description: mir-8799 microRNA precursor family
Rfam family: mir-8799 microRNA precursor family
Source: Rfam by way of RNAcentral